AAUAUUGCACAAUGGGGGAAACCCUGAUGCAGCGACGCCCCGUGAGUGAAGAAGUAUUCCGGUAAGUAAAGCCGUAUCAGCAGGGAAGAAAAUGACGGUACCUGACUAAGAAGCCCCGGCGAACUACGUCCCAGCAGCCGCGGGAAUACGUAGGGGGCAAGCGUUAUCCGGAUUUACUGGGUGUAAAGGGAGCGUAGGUGGCAAAUCAAGUCAGAUGUGAAAGCCCGGGGCUCAACCCCGGGAUUGCAUUUGAAACUGGUAUGCUAGAGUGCAGGAGAGGUAAGUGGAAUUCCUAGUGUAGCGGUGAAAUGCGUAGAUAUUAGGAGGAACACCAGUGGCGAAGGCGGCUUACUGGACUGUAACUGACACUGAGGCUCGAAAGCGUGGGGAGCAAAC
Molecule: ribosomal RNA, 396 nt
Filed under: uncultured bacterium
Lineage: Bacteria
Description: partial 16S ribosomal RNA
Rfam family: Bacterial small subunit ribosomal RNA
Source: RNAcentral